CCCAAUCUAUAAAUAUGAAUAUAACACUCCCAAUAUAAUUCAAUAUACAACAAACUCCAGUGAUCAACAUCCUCAACUAAAAUGUUGAGUUUUAUAUUUCUAGAGUCUCAAAAGAUAAUAUUAUAACUAAUAUUAAUAUCUCAGUUUAUUCUUAAUUCCAAAAGAAUAAUAUAACAAAAUUAUACAAUCCCAAAAGAACAAGAUGUCCUAACAAAAACAUCUAUAUCUUCUAACACCAUCACGUGGCCAAGACUCAAAAUAUAUUUACAGUCGCUGGGCCGGUCUGGUGUACCUGCAACCUCCUGGUUGGGGGGAGGGGAAUAUAAUAAAAACGAGGUGAGUUUAAAACUCAGUGAGAUCAGUGAGUAGAUAGUAUUUUUUGAAAAUUAAUUCUUACUUUAAAAGAAAGGGAAAUACCAUCUCAUACACGGAUAGACAGGGAAAUACCAUCUCAUAUUUCAUCAUAUCUAUGCAUGAAUAAUCUAGUCCCUAAAGGACAAAAGCGCCCAAGCACACGACCCAAAGCCUCUAUGUGUACUCAGACGGGCCCCAAAGGUCUAUAUCUCAUAUGUAUUAUCUGUAUCUCAAUAUAUGUAUGUAUCUCAUAUUUGUAUCUCUGUAAUCAUCAUAACGCAUGCAUAUGCCCCCAAAAGGCAGAAACGCCCAAACACACGGCCCAAAGCCUCUAUGUGUGUUCAAACGGGCCUCAAAUGCCUCUCAUCUCAUAUGUAUCACUGUAUCUGGAGGGAAGGGUACUGUCUAAUGAUUUAAAAAACAAUCACUAUACUCAUAUUCACAUACCUUUUAACCAUACUUUAAAUCAUACUACAUUUGAAUCCAUUUUUCUUGUCUUUAAAAUACUAUCAUGCUUUAUUCAAAGUCGAUACGGAAAACCAUUAACCAAACAUUUUAAUAUAAUAUCAAUACGUGAAUAAAAUCCAUUUCAAGAAAAUCAUUAAAUCAUAACAUUUAAAACACUUAUUUUGUAAACAUGUUUUACUAUCAUAAUUAACUAUGAAAAUAGGUUUUGUAUAUUCCACUCACAGUGAUGGUGUUCACGCUCAGUUAUCGUCCACGUCCGCGAAUCGGUUCUCGCUCGCGGAUCCUCUAAAUAAAGAAAACGACAUAACUAUUUUUCGUAAAUCGGAAUUACAACUAAAUUUAUGCAAUAAACUCGAAACGAACAUCUAUCCAUAAUUUACAACUCCCAUGUUGAUAAAAUUACUAAAAUGCCCUCGAGUCCGUAAAUCAUUAAAACUCUGAAAUCGUAAAUCAACGAAUUACCCUCGGAAUCGUAAUUACACCCAAUUCUCAAUUCUAGGAAUUACUAAAAUAUCUAUAGGCUCAGAAAUUACAAAUUUGCCCUCAUAGUGUGAAAUUACCAAAAUGCCCUCGCCGGUCAACGGUCGGAAUUUGGUCAACGCCGGUCGGGAAGUUCAAGUCUGAAAGUUCUGGCCACACUGAGUCCAACGGUGGUGGUGGUGACCUCCCAUGCACGGCGAUGGCUCUGGAUCGAGCUCCCAAAGCCGUAAGUCCUUCAACGGCCGAUCAACGGCAAAACGAUGUCCCCCGACAGUGGAUGGUCGGAAAUGGAAGAGGGAGUCGUGGGGAACAAAACUGAGGUGGUGGCAUGGUCAAAUUCCGGUAGAGCAACGGCGGCGAUGAUGGGUUUUGGCCGCGGUUUUGCAGGCCUUGAACGACGGCGUUCCGGUCGGUUUUCAGCGACAGGGAUGGCAGGGGAACGACGGCCGGUCUUCACGCUUCAGAUUGGUACCAAGCUCGGCCGAAACGGUGGCCGGAAAUGGGAGAUAUGGCCAGGUCAAGGUCGAAGGUUCCGGGUCGGGUUUUUGGGUCGGGUUCUCUCUCUCACUCUGUCUCACGUGCAUAUGUUUCCCCUGUUUCCAGCUUAUUCUUUUGCUUUUACUAACUUCUUAACCGCCUCUUUUUAUUUAUUCAUUUUUUAAUUCACAUAUGUUACAUGGAGUUCUAGUUGGACUAAACAGAUAAAUUGUGCCUA
RNAcentral lists this long non-coding RNA (2017 nucleotides) under Citrus maxima (pomelo). Its description in RNAcentral is "long non-coding RNA (CMAX_LNC004377)". The record is from RNAcentral. Lineage: Eukaryota; Viridiplantae; Streptophyta; Magnoliopsida; Sapindales; Rutaceae.